RNAcentral lists this long non-coding RNA (3043 nucleotides) under Homo sapiens (human). Its description in RNAcentral is "HSALNT0339988". The record is from RNAcentral. Lineage: Eukaryota; Metazoa; Chordata; Mammalia; Primates; Hominidae.
UGCCUUUUAGUGACACUGUCACAAUGAGUUGUAAAAUAAAAUAUAGUCAAAUUGCUGAGCAGGUUUGGGGACUGGACUGAGAGGGUGGAGAAAGAAGCCUCUCCGUGAUUCCCAAAGCCAGGAAACUUACAAGGCUUUAGGGAGGUGAUGUCCAUCAGGAAAACACGCUAGAAAGCUAAUUAAAAGUCCUUCAGUACGAGCAACAAGAGGAAACUGCAUGUUUCUUUCUGCUAAAGAUGAUUUUGCUUAAUCUUAUGAAGCUCUUUGUUAUCAGGAUGUGGUUCCACUUGGUAACAUUUAAGAGAUCAAAUAGAUUACAAAAUAUUUUGAUAUACAUAGUCUCAUUUGACAUGCUCAUGAUGAUACUACAAAGUCUUGAACCUUGAAAAUGUUAACCGGUGCAAAGCUCAAUGAUGCCAAUGUUUCACAAAGAGGAGUGGAAGGUGGAAUGAGAUUGUAUCAAAAGUAUCGUGAAAAGCAGGAUGAAGACUUCACCUGGGAGAUUUUAGAAGGCAGCCAUGGUUGUCAAUAUUCUGUGAAUUGGCCCAGAAUUCUAGAUCACUCAUGAACUCUCAGAAAUAAGUUGCUUUCAAGAAAGACCUGUCAUUUCCAGACCAGUGCUUCUUAAACUUAAAGUGCAUACAAAUCCCAUAGGUCUGGGGUGGAGUCUAGGAUUCUGCCUAACAAGUGCCCAGGCAAUGCCGAUGCAGCUGGUUCUGAGAACUCCCAGCAAGGGCAUGGUGAUGAACCACAACCCUUGAUAUGUGUUGCUUGCUGGUCUGGAGAAAAUCAACCGUAAAAAACGGACAGGUGUAACUUGACCUGGGUGUGGGAAGUGAUAGUAACUUUGAGAGAAGGGGAGGAGGAAGAACUGAAAAGAUCUGAUUUUAGGGACACACAAGGCCUGGGUUAAGAAGAGGUGCAGAGGACCCUGCUGGCCCACACCAAGGUCAGGAAUCGGGAGGUGCUACACAGAAGCUCAGGGGGAUGAUCAGCAGAGCUUUUCCUAGUCCAGGGAAUUGGUGCUGGGCAUGGCUUGCCCCGCUGGGCUUCCCUGGACAUCUUACAGGCUAGCUGUCAUAAUGCCGCAUAAAGCCAACACCCACACUCAAUUCUGCUUGAAAUCACGGCUUCUGGAUUUACUUUCUUUUCUAACAGUGUGUCCAACAGCGGUGUGCUUAAACCCCGGCCCUGAAACAAGAUUUUUUUAAAAAAAAAUUUUUUUACUUCAGUAUCCCCAGAGGUACCAAAGUGAGUUCUCGAUCACUUUUCCAAAGAUCCUAGAUAGAAGAACUGUUUUCCUGUGGGUCUUGUGAUAGUUUUAAGAUGAUAAUGCAUAGUGGGGAGGUGUCAAGGAUUAUUUCUCGAACUCCGAAAUGUAUUACCAGUCACACCGUAGCAGAUGACAGCGUUCCGGAAAGGGUGUGGCUUAGAGAAAUAGAAAUUAGGCAAGGGGUUUCCUGCAAAGCCAAAUGAUCCAAUUUUUUUUUUCUGUCCCUUGGAAGGCCAGUGAGUCUCCAAAAUAGAAAUGAAGCUCCCUAGGGCUGGCUUCAGUCAUACUCCUGGAUUGCUAACUGCUGACAUGUGUUUUUAGGAAGAUCGUUGCUAGUGGAAACAGCUUCAGGCAAGUGGCAGCACCCAAGAUUCUCAUGUGACCCCUGCACAAUUUCUGGAGGAACAUGACUUUACCAAAAACAAUAAAUGAAAUCUCACAUCCAUAUGUUUCAGUCAAGUUCAAGGGACUAUUUUGUUGGCCUGAGACCCAGACUGAAAUAAAAUUUUUUUUAAGAUUUGGUCAACAUUAUAAAAUGAAAAAAGUAGAUAAUAGCUGCUCAAAUUGGGCACCCACCUACAAAACAAAUAAUCUACCACUAAAGUCACAGUUUGUAUUUCAGGUUACUUGAUUUUUCAGUAAAAUGUGUCAACAAGCAUAUUCUUCAAAAUAGGAAGCCAAAUGGCAAAUGGUUGGAUAACCGGAAAAUUAAGGGAUUGGUCUGCAAGCAAGCGAAGGCCAUUAAAACCUUAUGCGCUGUAGACACAGCCUUUGAGCCACACUUUUUCUUGCACUGGACUCAUGCAUAGAACAAUUUGAAAUACAGAGACUACAGAUAUGCAUCUAACAGCACACUGGGCACAUGUAUUAUGUUCCUUGUUGCUAAAGGGUUCGGCAAGAUGUAGUUCCUUUUGUAGUAGUGUUCAGAGGGAGGUAAAUAAUGUCAGACCACUGGGCUCUGCACAGUGGGGCAAUAACUUUCAUGCUAAGCCCAUCUGUAGAGGAUAUGUUUCCAUAGUUCCUGUGAAACUUAGGUGGAAUUUGAAUGGCUGUUGAAGGACACGCCAAGGAGGGAAGUGUGGUACAAAAUAAUUUCCUAUCAACAUUGCUUUGUGUCAUAGGAAUCAAAGAAAGUAUGAAAAUCAGGAGACAGACUUAAACCCACAAGGCUUUAUUCCCAGCUGAAAUCUGGGUUUACCUUGACAGAAUAAGGUGAUGAGAAGCAUCAGGAUGUUGAAAACUGGGCCCCCAGAUAUCUCUGUGGAAUGCAUUAACUUUCAGCUAAUGCUCUAGAGAAAGAGCUUUGUAGCUCACCCCAAAUGACAAUUAGCAUCACUCAUCAAAGAAAGCACAGGCAUGCUCACUUUAUGGGAAAGCAGCGAAUGCUCAUGAGAGGGAGAUGACUGACUUGAGUACCCCUGGAAAGAAAUUAGCCCACACAGUGUUUAUGAAACACUUGAUUUACACCCUCGUGGCACUAACUUGGCAUCAUAUCGAGGGGAAGGAUUGGCUUCCUAAUUUGAGAUCAUCUGUGGAGGAAGUAAUGAAGUGGGCCCGAGGUGUCGGGGAAGAGGGAGCACGUUAUUUCAGACGGAAAUGAUCGCAUUCCUUUCUCACAUCUCCCCGGAUCAGUCUGUGAGAGACCCGCAUCUGGGCCUCAUUAGCCAUCCAGUGCGCGGCCUCCAGCUAGCAGCGGAGGCGUCUACACUACCCUCCUUUCCUCUGCAUUGUUUCCCACGACCCUGAGCCUUAUCACAACCUGGGUGUGGC